RNAcentral lists this long non-coding RNA (447 nucleotides) under Gallus gallus (chicken). The record is from RNAcentral. Lineage: Eukaryota; Metazoa; Chordata; Aves; Galliformes; Phasianidae.
UAGGUUUUGAAAAGUAGUAACUUCUUUUAACUUUUGCAUCUUAAGAAGUAGCCAUGUUCCAAUACAUUCAAGUUGUUUUAACAUCACUUGGGCUCCAAAACAUCAGAGCAGUAAUCCAAUCGUUUAUGCUUCCUUUAAGCAGAAAGACAGUUCCUCUUGGUAGUAUCACAGACAUCUGAGGAAGGGCACAGGAAAUCUCUCUUCAAAGACGUAGCAGCUUCUACUGAGAGCAUCUGCCACAGAAUCCCAGGUUUUCAGAUCAGCAGUGCUAUCAAGCAGCAGUACUUUCACGGAUGGCCCGAGCCACGUUUCAAAGCCAAACAACUGUAUGCACUUCGCUGUUCCCAGAACCUCUGUUUGUUGCUCAUUUCUGCCUGACGCUCAUGAAUCCAUUCCUCCCACUUUUCUGCUCACUUCACUCACUCCCGUUCCCUCCUCCUUUUUUUU